This 254-nucleotide ribosomal RNA is filed under the name uncultured bacterium. Its description in RNAcentral is "partial 16S ribosomal RNA". It matches the Rfam family "Bacterial small subunit ribosomal RNA", at positions 524 to 776 of the family's 1533-position model. The record is from RNAcentral.
UACGGGGGGAACAAGCGUUGUUCGGAUUUACUGGGCGUAAAGGGCGCGUAGGCGGCCACCGCAAGUCGGUUGUGAAAUCUCCGGGCUUAACCCGGAAAGGUCAAUCGAUACUGCGGGGCUAGAGUGCAGAAGGGGCAACUGGAAUUCUCGGUGUAGCGGUGAAAUGCGUAGAUAUCGAGAGGAACACCUGCGGCGAAGGCGGGUUGCUGGGCUGACACUGACGCUGAAGCGCGAAAGCUAGGGGAGCGAACGGG